UACGUAGGCAGCGAGCGUUGUUCGGAGUUACUGGGCGUAAAGCGUGCGUAGGCGGUGUCUUAAGUUUGUUGUGAAAUCUCCCGGCUUAACCGGGAGGGUGCGGCGAAUACUGAGAUGCUGGAGUGCCGGAGAGGUAAGCGGAAUUCUUGGUGUAGCGGUGAAAUGCGUAGAUAUCAGGAGGAACACCUGCGGUGUAGACGGCUUACUGGACGGUAACUGACGCUGAGGCACGAAAGCGUGGGUAGCAAACAGG
Molecule: ribosomal RNA, 253 nt
Filed under: uncultured bacterium
Lineage: Bacteria
Description: partial 16S ribosomal RNA
Rfam family: Bacterial small subunit ribosomal RNA
Source: RNAcentral